AUGGCUUAUUAGCUAGCCACGUCAGACAUAUACAUAUACUUCCCAUGUUGGAUUUGUUGGUUCCUUUCUUUAAUCAAUUUUUUAAAGAAAAAAAUGCCCUCGUACGUAGUUUUCUUCUAGUAUUCUCUCAGCGUUUUCCUCCUUUCACUUUUUACACUCUUCUAAUACCACUAUAUUUUUCCCUCUCAGUUUCUCAGUAACCAAACAGAGCAUAAAAUACUAGGAAAACUUAAUAAAAUGUGUUGUUUUUUUUUUCCCUUUCAAUUUUUUGUUAUGUUAAUAUUAUUGAAUUUUCAAUCUUUUGAGUUAUCUCCAUCUUUAAAUCCACCAGAUGAUUGACACUUCCGAGGAAUCCAAGCAAAUUGAGAAGCUCUACGAAUUUAGUGAACGCCUCAACGAGGCUAAGGUUAAGUCUCAAAAAGAAGUGGAGAAGAACAACUUAGGCUCCAAUGCCUUGAAGAACAACAAGCCAUAUAGAAGCGUUGCUUUGAAGACCUCUGCCGUUCUAACGACACUACCAACAAUAAAUUUGAUUCUCAUUAUGCUAAGCCCUCCUCCGAAAUCCUUUUCCAAAAAUCAAAAUCUUUUCCUGCAUUUGUGUUACUAACUUGGUGCAUCCCAAUACAAGAAUUUGCUAUAGCAAGCAAUCCAAGAACCGUCGUUAUCCGCAUCACACCAAACUCCCUCACAAGGCACAACUUUUGUUUGGCCGAGGGUUUAGGGUUGGAACGGAUCGCAGGAAACAGAAAAAGCUGGCCGUCAAAAAUGAGAAGGAGAUGAGAGAAGAGAUUAGGUAAAAAAGAAGAGGUCGAAGAGAAGUCAGAGGAAGCCACGGCCCAAAGGGCUAAACUCUCCAAUCUCCAUUAUUUGGAUGCCGAGAAAAUGAAAGAGAAAAUGAAAGAGAAAACUCAAAUCAACAAUCGGCUAGUUAACGUGGUUAGUUAAUGGGCCAUCUCAACUUUUCAUUACAUUGUAACUGAAAAUGUCCGUUAGUCACCGAUUUGUUACUUUCAUAAAGUUUAGUGAUUGAAUUGGAAGUUGAGUGAUUAUUUUAUUAUUGGAAUAAAAGUUAGGUGAUUAUUGAUGUAAUUUACCUUAAAUAAUAUAAUAAUACAAUUAGAAGUAAAUUGUAAAAAAAUAAAA
Long non-coding RNA from Gossypium arboreum, 1143 nucleotides. RefSeq lists it as uncharacterized. The transcript has 2 exons. The record is from RefSeq and is a predicted model, not a curated record. NCBI's taxonomy places the organism in Eukaryota, Viridiplantae, Streptophyta, Magnoliopsida, Malvales, Malvaceae.